This 332-nucleotide unclassified non-coding RNA is filed under the name uncultured fungus. Its description in RNAcentral is "partial contains small subunit ribosomal RNA, internal transcribed spacer 1, and 5.8S ribosomal RNA". The stretch from base 1 to 73 matches the Rfam family "Eukaryotic small subunit ribosomal RNA", at positions 1759 to 1831 of the family's 1831-position model. The record is from RNAcentral. Lineage: Eukaryota; Fungi.
GCAAACUUGGUCAUUUAGAGGAAGUAAAAGUCGUAACAAGGUUUCCGUAGGUGAACCUGCGGAAGGAUCAUUAAUGAAUUAAAUGAUGAGGUUGUUGCUGGCCCUAUAUAUAUGGGCAUGUGCACAUCUUGUCAAUUCAUCCACACACUUUUGUGCACUUUUCAUGGAUUGGCUUAUGAAUAGAAGUUGCCUCUUGGGUGGCUUUUGAGCCCUUCUGUGUAUUUUAUUACAAACAUUUUCAGUCUUAGAAUGUAAAUUUUGCAAUUAAUGCAAUGAAAUAUAUAACUUUCAGCAACGGAUCUCUUGGCUCUCGCAUCGAUGAAGAACGCAGC